This 439-nucleotide ribosomal RNA is filed under the name uncultured bacterium. RNAcentral describes it as "bacterial SSU rRNA". It matches the Rfam family "Bacterial small subunit ribosomal RNA", at positions 958 to 1397 of the family's 1533-position model. The record is from RNAcentral.
AACGCGAAGAACCUUACCUACUCUUGACAUCCUGAGAACCUCAUGUAAUGUGAGGGUGCCGAAAGGAGCUCAGAGACAGGUGCUGCAUGGCUGUCGUCAGCUCGUGUCGUGAGAUGUUGGGUUAAGUCCCGUAACGAGCGCAACCCCUAUACUUAAUUGCCAUCGGGUAAAGCUGAGCACUUUAAGUAGACUGCUGGUGACAAACCAGAGGAAGGCGGGGACGACGUCAAGUCAUCAUGGCCCUUACGAGUAGGGCUACACACGUGCUACAAUGGGCGGUACAAAGGGUUGCGAAGCCGCGAGGUGGAGCUAAUCUCAUAAAGCCGCUCGUAGUCCGGAUUGCAGUCUGCAACUCGACUGCAUGAAGCUGGAAUCGCUAGUAAUCGCGAAUCAGAAUGUCGCGGUGAAUACGUUCCCGGGCCUUGUACACACCGCAUAC